GCCUGCUUAGCAUAGUGGCUAAUGCGUUGCACUUGUAUCACACCCUUGGAUCCAUCCAAAGGGUAACGACGACAUGCAAAGAUCACAGGUUCGAUUCCUGUAGUAGGCA
Molecule: transfer RNA, 109 nt
Organism: Sordaria macrospora k-hell
Lineage: Eukaryota; Fungi; Ascomycota; Sordariomycetes; Sordariales; Sordariaceae
Rfam family: tRNA
About the family: Transfer RNA (tRNA) molecules are approximately 80 nucleotides in length. Their secondary structure includes four short double-helical elements and three loops (D, anti-codon, and T loops).
Source: Rfam